Molecule: ribosomal RNA, 431 nt
Filed under: uncultured bacterium
Lineage: Bacteria
Description: partial 16S ribosomal RNA
Rfam family: Bacterial small subunit ribosomal RNA
Source: RNAcentral
AACGAACGCUGGCGGCAGGCUUAACACAUGCAAGUCGAACGCUCCGCAAGGGGGGUGGCAGCCGGGUGAGUAACGCGUGGGAACAUACCCUUUUCUACGGAAUAGCUCUGGGAAACUGGAAUUAAUACCGUAUACGCCCUACGGGGGAAAGAUUUAUCGGGGAAGGAUUGGCCCGCGUUGGAUUAGCUAGUUGGUGGGGUAAAGGCCUACCAAGGCGACGAUCCAUAGCUGGUCUGAGAGGAUGAUCAGCCACAUUGGGACUGAGACACGGCCCAAACUCCUACGGGAGGCAGCAGUGGGGAAUAUUGGACAAUGGGCGCAAGCCUGAUCCAGCCAUGCCGCGUGAGUGAUGAAGGCCUUAGGGUUGUAAAGCUCUUUCACCGAUGAAGAUAAUGACGGUAGUCGGAGAAGAAGCCCCGGCUAACUUCGUG